GAUGCUACUGCUCGGUCUCAAACAGCUCACCAAAUUGCAUGGGAUCGUCUCUCUGCCUCGCAUAUAUCCCAAAAGGCCUGCUAUGACAGCCAGAACAGACCUGUUCACUUCUCUCGAGGCUCUUUGGACCUUACUUGGAUGCCGUCCCACCAUGUGGGUCUAUCUUCGAAGCUUCUGUCUCACUACUCUGGCCCCUAUAACGUUCUGCGCCAGCUCAGUGAAGACGCAUAGUAGAUCACCCCAGUGGACGGUAGCUUGUCAUUAUCCAUACCACCUAGUGAUAUCAUGCACAUCGCCCGUUUGAAACCCUACUUCUCUGACAACAGCCCUUCCCUUCCCUAGGCACUGAGACGGUGUGCCCACCAGCAGGGGUCACAUGUUACAAGCCACUUCCGUACAUUGUAGAAGGUGCCAGCGAGGGGAUGAAGACGACCAUCUAAGAAGCGCUUGUGUGGUUGUUGUUUCGCCAUCUCGGCUUUCUAUAUAUAUGACGUAAAUACUUUUCUCUUUUGUUUGGCUAGUCUUAUCCCCGUCACAAUAUGAUAAAUGGAAAUGCAAUGUCCUACUGUCUCUUUUUUUUUUUACUUUUCUAACUCAUUCAGAGUUGCACUAAUGUCAACACAACAUCAUAGCUUUGCCAGGCAUUCAAGUUCAAAAGUUGGUAAUGGCAUGAAGGAACAUAGAGUAGACUCUCAUCUAUGGCACUCAAAACCAUGAGUAUUUUCUGCCGAUGGAAGAAAUGCAAUCUUCCAGAAGUUGUUCUAUAGCACCAUUCUAGUUCUGAUGCCUUAGCUGCACUCUGCUGAUGCUGCAUGGAAUGUUUGUUGUGCACAGCAACUAGGAAGGACAUGCACUUGCAUUGCAGUCUUUUGUUCACUCCUAGUUCCAUUUCUUUGGAUUACUAAAAGAAUGAUCCCCAUAAAAUGCAGUUAUCAGUUGGAGCUAGAUGUGAACAGUUUUUCACAGUGCAUCCUUGAAUAACUUUCUGGAACAAACAUUUUAAGGUACAAACUAGGGGUAUAAAAAUUGUUUGUGGCACGUUAAAAACUGCAGUGCACAAAGAUAAGCAAUAUGUUGAAUGGCCUGUGAAACUAACGUGUUUAAACUUAAAAAUAAUUGGCACCUUUAACAAAUAUACUGCCGUUGUAACUUUGUGGUCAGUACACCAGUACAAUACACUCGCGUAGACCUCAGUGCCUUUUGUUUAGAAUUGUGUUUCAUAAUUGAUGAUUUUCUUCUCCAGGCCAUGUGCUACACCCAUGCUAAUUUGUCAUAUGACAAACAUGCCAAAGUAUGCUUGGUGUCAUAAUUGAUGGAUUACGAUAAAGUGCAGGCAUCUAAUUACACAAGACAAAGGGACUGUGAUUGCAAAUGUUCUUUUCUGUGAAAACGCACAAAGAUGAGUGUCCGUUCCGUGUUGUAUUAGAAAGGGCUGCUGGCAAAAAUCGGUAGCUUGCUUUUUACAGGUGAAGCUCAAAGUUUAGCUGUCAACGACCCUUUUAGAAUCAGCAGCUCUGAGCAAGUGAUAAAAUUUUUAAAAGACAACACUCACGUGAGCUUUUCUGCCUUCUCUCUAGACAUUAAAGAUUUGUUUUGCUCAUUACCUCAAAAGGAGCUACUUCAAUGCGUGGAAGGCGGCAUUGACAACCGCAGCAUAGUGGGCUUCCAGAGUGAAGUCGAUCUAACCGCUAACCAGCUUUUAGAACUUGUAAAGUUUUACUUGUCUUCGAUGUUCGCUGCUUGGAGUGACUCAAUGUUUUUUGAGAGACAGAAGGCGUAUGCAUUGGAUCCUGCCUCACGCCUCUGUUAAGCGACCUAUUCCUUGCUCAUUGCAAUAGGAUUCUGUGCACUAGUCUGAAAGGAUCAAUGGUUGCAAAAGUUUUUAGGUAUGUCAAUAUUAUCUAGUAUUUUUACAAUGUGACAAUGAAUGCUUGGCUUCUGCCAUGUCUGCUGUUGGUUCAGUUUUUCGCAAGUGCCUCCAACCUCUUUUGUGAUGUGAAGAGCCUGCUAAUGGUUCCAUCAGGUUUUUAGAUCUUGCACUCGUUUUUUUAAAGAGUCAUGUGUGUUGGUGCUAUGAGCCCCAAGGGAAGAAAGUCAUUCUACCAUUCUCGUCAGCGCAUUCUGAACUAGUUAAGCAGCUCAUCAUUAAUCUUUGUUUUAAAAACGCUUUUCUAAAAUCCAAAUCUUGUGAUCACCUGGUACACAGAAGCUUCGAAAACCAAUUUUUGCACCUAAGCACAGCUGGCUACUUCUUGCGAAUGCUGACAGCCACAAUGUCAACAAUCGGAUAAAGACUAGUCAUCUAGCCACGCACUGCUCGCGUUGUGGCUGUAAAACCUUGUUUGACAAAUCACAAAUUAUAUCUAGGAACCCCGAUCAAGUCACUAGGGACAUCGAGACAUUCGGAAUGAUCAGAAACGAUAAUUGUGUAUGCUGCCCAUCUGUGUCACUCUCAACAAAAGAAAUCAUGUUCUUAUCGCGGUAGCGGCCUGUGGUGAAUGAUUUUACCAGAAAGAAAUUUAUGCGCGACAGUGACUUUUUUUCUUCCAGUUGUACGAUGGUAUAUAUGUGAUAUCCAUGUACAACAAAAAUUCAGUUGUUAGUAGCGCUGUGUCUUCGUUGUCUUCUCUUGUCCUCGUGUUCUUUUUUUGCGCUCUGCCUCAAGUUAUCUAAUUGCCAUUCUGCUGCAUAAAACUUCUUUCAAAUGUGUGAGAAACUCCCUCUGCGACCAUUUUGCUGUUGU
This 2743-nucleotide long non-coding RNA is filed under the name Dermacentor andersoni. RNAcentral's name for it is "uncharacterized LOC126542995". The record is from RNAcentral. Lineage: Eukaryota; Metazoa; Arthropoda; Arachnida; Ixodida; Ixodidae.